RNAcentral lists this ribosomal RNA (253 nucleotides) under uncultured bacterium. Its description in RNAcentral is "partial 16S ribosomal RNA". It matches the Rfam family "Bacterial small subunit ribosomal RNA", at positions 524 to 776 of the family's 1533-position model. The record is from RNAcentral.
UACAGAGGUCUCAAGCGUUGUUCGGAUUCAUUGGGCAUAAAGGGCGCGUAGGCGGCGGGGUAAGUCGGGUGUGAAAUCUCAGAGCUCAACUCUGAAACUGCACUCGAUACUGCUCUGCUUGAGGACUGGAGAGGAGACUGGAAUUCACGGUGUAGCAGUGAAAUGCGUAGAUAUCGUGAGGAAGACCAGUGGCGAAGGCGGGUCUCUGGACAGUUCCUGACGCUGAGGCGCGAAGGCCAGGGGAGCAAACGGG